UAAGCGGAGGAAAAGAAACCAACAGGGAUUGCCUUAGUAACGGCGAGUGAAGCGGCAAAAGCUCAAAUUUGAAAUCUGGCACCUUCGGUGUCCGAGUUGUAAUUUGAAGAAGGUAACUUUGGAGUUGGCUCUUGUCUAUGUUCCUUGGAACAGGACGUCACAGAGGGUGAGAAUCCCGUGCGAUGAGAUGCCCAAUUCUAUGUAAAGUGCUUUCGAAGAGUCGAGUUGUUUGGGAAUGCAGCUCUAAGUGGGUGGUAAAUUCCAUCUAAAGCUAAAUAUUGGCGAGAGACCGAUAGCGAACAAGUACAGUGAUGGAAAGAUGAAAAGAACUUUGAAAAGAGAGUGAAAAAGUACGUGAAAUUGUUGAAAGGGAAGGGCUUGAGAUCAGACUUGGUAUUUUGCGAUCCUUUCCUUCUUGGUUGGGUUCCUCGCAGCUUACUGGGCCAGCAUCGGUUUGGAUGGUAGGAUAAUGACUAAGGAAUGUGGCUCUACUUCGGUGGAGUGUUAUAGCCUUGGUUGAUACUGCCUGUCUAGACCGAGGACUGCGUCUUUUGACUAGGAUGUUGGCAUAAUGAUCUUAAGCCACCCGUCUUGAAAAAAAAGGAAAC
RNAcentral lists this ribosomal RNA (608 nucleotides) under Debaryomyces hansenii. Its description in RNAcentral is "partial large subunit ribosomal RNA". It matches the Rfam family "Eukaryotic large subunit ribosomal RNA", at positions 47 to 664 of the family's 3401-position model. The record is from RNAcentral. Lineage: Eukaryota; Fungi; Ascomycota; Pichiomycetes; Serinales; Debaryomycetaceae.